UACGUAGGGACCGAGCGUUGUCCGGAAUCAUUGGGCGUAAAGAGCGUGUAGGCGGCUAUUUAAGUCCUGCGUGAAAUCCUGCGGCUCAACCGCAGACGGUCGUGGGAAACUGCCGUGACUCGAGUCCGGUAGGGGAGUGUGGAAUUCCCGGUGUAGCGGUGAAAUGCGCAGAUAUCGGGAGGAACACCAGUAGCGAAGGCGGCACUCUGGGCCGGUACUGACGCUGAGGAGCGAAAGCGUGGGGAGCGAACAGG
This 254-nucleotide ribosomal RNA is filed under the name uncultured bacterium. RNAcentral's name for it is "partial 16S ribosomal RNA". It matches the Rfam family "Bacterial small subunit ribosomal RNA", at positions 524 to 776 of the family's 1533-position model. The record is from RNAcentral.